AUUGAACGCUAGCGGGAUGCCUUACACAUGCAAGUCGAACGGCAGCACGGACUUCGGUCUGGUGGCGAGUGGCGAACGGGUGAGUAAUGUAUCGGAACGUGCCCAGUAGCGGGGGAUAACUACGCGAAAGCGUAGCUAAUACCGCAUACGCCCUACGGGGGAAAGCAGGGGAUCGCAAGACCUUGCACUAUUGGAGCGGCCGAUAUCGGAUUAGCUAGUUGGUGGGGUAACGGCUCACCAAGGCGACGAUCCGUAGCUGGUUUGAGAGGACGACCAGCCACACUGGGACUGAGACACGGCCCAGACUCCUGCGGGAGGCAGCAGUGGGGAAUUUUGGACAAUGGGGGAAAACCUGAUCCAGCCAUCCCGCGUGUGCGAUGAAGGCCUUCGGGUUGUAAAGCACUUUUGGCAGGAAAGAAACGUCGCGGGUUAAUACCCCGCGAAACUGACGGUACCUGCAGAAUAAGCACCGGCUAACUACGUG
Molecule: ribosomal RNA, 484 nt
Filed under: uncultured bacterium
Lineage: Bacteria
Description: partial 16S ribosomal RNA
Rfam family: Bacterial small subunit ribosomal RNA
Source: RNAcentral